This 1155-nucleotide ribosomal RNA is filed under the name Escherichia coli 3-020-07_S1_C1. RNAcentral describes it as "bacterial LSU rRNA". It matches the Rfam family "Bacterial large subunit ribosomal RNA", at positions 1775 to 2925 of the family's 2925-position model. Lineage: Bacteria; Pseudomonadati; Pseudomonadota; Gammaproteobacteria; Enterobacterales; Enterobacteriaceae. The record is from RNAcentral.
AGUCGAAGAUACCAGCUGGCUGCAACUGUUUAUUAAAAACACAGCACUGUGCAAACACGAAAGUGGACGUAUACGGUGUGACGCCUGCCCGGUGCCGGAAGGUUAAUUGAUGGGGUCAGCGCAAGCGAAGCUCUUGAUCGAAGCCCCGGUAAACGGCGGCCGUAACUAUAACGGUCCUAAGGUAGCGAAAUUCCUUGUCGGGUAAGUUCCGACCUGCACGAAUGGCGUAAUGAUGGCCAGGCUGUCUCCACCCGAGACUCAGUGAAAUUGAACUCGCUGUGAAGAUGCAGUGUACCCGCGGCAAGACGGAAAGACCCCGUGAACCUUUACUAUAGCUUGACACUGAACAUUGAGCCUUGAUGUGUAGGAUAGGUGGGAGGCUUAGAAGUGUGGACGCCAGUCUGCAUGGAGCCGACCUUGAAAUACCACCCUUUAAUGUUUGAUGUUCUAACGUUGACCCGUAAUCCGGGUUGCGGACAGUGUCUGGUGGGUAGUUUGACUGGGGCGGUCUCCUCCUAAAGAGUAACGGAGGAGCACGAAGGUUGGCUAAUCCUGGUCGGACAUCAGGAGGUUAGUGCAAUGGCAUAAGCCAGCUUGACUGCGAGCGUGACGGCGCGAGCAGGUGCGAAAGCAGGUCAUAGUGAUCCGGUGGUUCUGAAUGGAAGGGCCAUCGCUCAACGGAUAAAAGGUACUCCGGGGAUAACAGGCUGAUACCGCCCAAGAGUUCAUAUCGACGGCGGUGUUUGGCACCUCGAUGUCGGCUCAUCACAUCCUGGGGCUGAAGUAGGUCCCAAGGGUAUGGCUGUUCGCCAUUUAAAGUGGUACGCGAGCUGGGUUUAGAACGUCGUGAGACAGUUCGGUCCCUAUCUGCCGUGGGCGCUGGAGAACUGAGGGGGGCUGCUCCUAGUACGAGAGGACCGGAGUGGACGCAUCACUGGUGUUCGGGUUGUCAUGCCAAUGGCACUGCCCGGUAGCUAAAUGCGGAAGAGAUAAGUGCUGAAAGCAUCUAAGCACGAAACUUGCCCCGAGAUGAGUUCUCCCUGACUCCUUGAGAGUCCUGAAGGAACGUUGAAGACGACGACGUUGAUAGGCCGGGUGUGUAAGCGCAGCGAUGCGUUGAGCUAACCGGUACUAAUGAACCGUGAGGCUUAACCU